GUCUACGGCCAUACCACCCUGAACGCACCCGAUCUCGUCUGAUCUCGGAAGCUAAGCAGGGUCGGGCCUGGUUAGUACUUGGAUGGGAGACCAUCACUGUAUUUUUCUUAUGUAGCCU
Molecule: ribosomal RNA, 118 nt
Filed under: Vicugna pacos (alpaca)
Lineage: Eukaryota; Metazoa; Chordata; Mammalia; Artiodactyla; Camelidae
Source: RNAcentral